UUCGUGCGGCGGCACGGCCAUAUCUUCCCCAUGUUGCUCAUGUCUGCUCAUCGCACUUUUGUGCGAUGCCCACGCGGAUGUUCGAGUGUCAGGCCGUGCUCUGAGCAAUACUGGACGUCUUAGCACCCAUAUCUCGUCUUUGUUUCUCCCCAAGGAGGAGAUGGGUCGGUGGUUCAUACAUAC
This 183-nucleotide small nucleolar RNA is filed under the name Coprinopsis cinerea okayama7#130. Its description in RNAcentral is "small nucleolar RNA snR35". It matches the Rfam family "small nucleolar RNA snR35". The record is from Rfam by way of RNAcentral. Lineage: Eukaryota; Fungi; Basidiomycota; Agaricomycetes; Agaricales; Psathyrellaceae.